Molecule: unclassified non-coding RNA, 302 nt
Filed under: Hevea brasiliensis (rubber tree)
Lineage: Eukaryota; Viridiplantae; Streptophyta; Magnoliopsida; Malpighiales; Euphorbiaceae
Source: RNAcentral
AAUAAAAAAAAGCCUUGCUUGACUAAGGACAAAUGGGUCAAUGAGACAAUACGUAGGCUAACUGCCCAUAUAUUGUAACUAGGAUUUACAUUGAUUCAUAUAAAUAUUCCUCGUCCUCAAUCAAGGCAACACCUAACAUCAAAAACGUUAAACAUUACACAAUGAAGUUUGUAGAACCGCAAAUUUACAUGUCUAUAAACUUCUGAUAGUGGUCAGCACAAGUUAAAAUUGAAUAGUGGAGCGAUUCUAAGAACACUGAUUUGACACUAAGGCAGCAGCCACCCCCCCACCCCCGAGUCCUA